UACAGAGGUGGCAAGCGUUGUUCGGAAUUACUGGGCGUAAAGGGCGCGUAGGCGGCCUUGUCAGUCAGACGUGAAAUCCCCAGGCUUAACCUGGGAACUGCGUCUGAUACUACAAGGCUGGAGUUCGGGAGAGGAAUGUGGAAUUCCAGGUGUAGCGGUGAAAUGCGUAGAUAUCAGGAGGAACACCGGUGGCGAAGGCGGGUCUCUGGGCAGUAACUGACGCUGAGGAGCGAAAGCGUGGGGAGCGAACAGG
Molecule: ribosomal RNA, 253 nt
Filed under: uncultured bacterium
Lineage: Bacteria
Description: partial 16S ribosomal RNA
Rfam family: Bacterial small subunit ribosomal RNA
Source: RNAcentral